GCAUAUCAAUAAGCGGAGGAAAAGAAAAUAACAAUGAUUCCCCUAGUAACGGCGAGUGAAGAGGGAUUAGCUCAAAUUUAAAAUCUGCUGGGUUUACCUAUCAGAGUUGUAAUUUGAAGGGGCGUUUUCCGCGUCAUUGUUGGUCCAAAUCCUUUGGGAUAAGGUAUCAUGGGGGGUGAGAAUCCCGUCCGGCCGACAUCAUGAUGUUUUACGAUACGCUUUCAAAGAGUCGAGUUGUUUGGGAUUGCAGCUCAAAAUGGGAGGUAAAUUUCUCCUAAGGCUAAAUAUUGGCGAGAGACCGAUAGCGAACAAGUACCGUGAGGGAAAGAUGAAAAGAACUUUGAAAAGAGAGUUAAAAAGUACGUGAAAUUGUUGAAAGGGAAACGAUUGAAGUCAGUCGUACCGACGAGAAAUCAGCUUUUCGAAUGUGCAUUUGUGGGCGUAUGAGAUCUUCAUUGUUUGCAAUAUGUAUGUUUCUUUGGUGUAUUUUUUCGUAUGGUAGGUCAGCGUCGGUUUUGGUCGCCAUAAAAUGACCGGAGGAAUGUAGCUUCGGCUUCGGUUGAAGUGUUAUAGCCUUUGGUAGAUGUGGUGAUUAGGACCGAGGAUUGCAACGAAUACCUUUUAGGCUAUCCGUCUGUCCUCUGAAAGUUACUUAGGUGCCGAAAGCUUGCUUACGGUCAUUUAAGUUGACGGUCAAUAGGUUAGAACGUGAUUACAUUCGUUAAGGACGUUGACGUAAUGGCUUUAAACGAC
Molecule: ribosomal RNA, 753 nt
Filed under: uncultured Glomus
Lineage: Eukaryota; Fungi; Glomeromycota; Glomeromycetes; Glomerales; Glomeraceae
Description: eukaryotic LSU rRNA
Rfam family: Eukaryotic large subunit ribosomal RNA
Source: RNAcentral